AAAAUCAAAGAUCAUAAGAAAUAAGAAAAAAAAAUAAAGUCCUUUCCAUUGUUCAGCAAAAGGUUUCUGUCCUAAAGUAAUCUUAAGAAGGGAGGAGGAGGGACCUCCCAUGCCAAUGGGGUUCACAUUCCAAUAGACUAUCAGUAAGAAAUUUUCCAAGUAUGAAAUUUCCCAAUGGUGAAAUUUCCAACAUUUAUAAGUCUAAGGAAUUUUAAGGUUUACAUAUUGUUAUUAUUGUUUAUUAAUUAGGUGAUCAUUUGGCCUCUAUUUAAAGACCUCCAGGGAAGAGGAAUCCUCUAUUUCCUCAGGAAUGUCACUGUACUGAGUAUGUUUUCCAUUCUAUCAGCCUAAGUCUGUCUCUCUAGAACCUUCUUCUUUUUUUAAAUUCAUUAACACCUUUCGUUUUUACAAGACAUACACUUUUAGAGGGAGAUGAGAAGGAAUUCGAGAGUCAGAAAUCAUGAGGGUGACUCCUAGAUUUACCAUUUCAAGAGCUGAAUGACUGGACAAGUGAUAUGACUUCUCGAUGCCUCAGUUUCUCAUCUGCAAAAUGGCCUUGAUAGUGUCUCCUCACCUCACUAGACUGUAGUAAGAAUCAGAAGAGCUAAUUUGUAUGCCUCCAUCUCUCACCUCCAAGACUUUGCAUGGUGUCCUAACCCCCCAUAUCUGGAAUACAUACCCUCAUAAUUUCUACUUUUUAGACCUUAACUCCCUCAAGGCUCAUCUCAGGUACCUCGGGGAACCCAUCAUAGGGAGGAGGAGGAGGAGGAAGAAAGAGGAAAAAGUAUUUCUUAAUUUAAUAUUAUAGGGUAGCAAGGGUGCACAGUAGAUAGCACACUGGGGCAGGAGUUAGGAAGACCUGAAUUCAAAUCUGGCCUCAGACACUUCCUUGCUAUGUGACUCUGGACAAGUCAUUAACCCUGUUUGCCUCAGUUUCCUCAUGUGUCAAAUGAGCUGGAGAAGGAAAUGGCAAACCACUCCACUAUCUCUGGAAGAAAAUUUCCACUGGGCCCAGGUAGAGCAGAAGGGCUCAACGAUUGCCUUUCCUUGUUUGGUUAUGGGUUAGUUUGGUUGUCUUUGUGUUUGUGAGUCUGUUGUACAUGUGACCCAAAUGGAGUCACAAAGAAUUGGUCACAACUAAAUAACAACAGCUAUGUACCAGGCGCUGGGAUAGGUGUUUUUAUGAAUAUUAUCUCCUUGGGUCCUUAAGACAACACUAUGAAGUAGGUGCUAGAGUGAUCUCCACUUUACACUUGAGGAAGUUGAGGCAGAGAGAGGUUAAAAGAUUUGUACAAAGUCACAGAGUUAGGAAAUGUCUAAGGCUGGAUUAGAACUCACAUUUUCCUGACUCCUGACCCAAUGCUUGCUGCCCCCAUUUCCCCUAGGAGAUCAUGAGAUGAUAGGAUCCAACAUUGGAACUAGGCGGAACACUAACCAUCAUAUGGUCUAAAUCCUACAUUUUGCAGCUGAAAAAAUGGAGCCUCAGAGAGACCGAGUCACACAGAUAUCCCAACUGAUGGCGUCCUCUCCCUCCUCAAAUAAUUGUAUAUUUGAGAACAUAUCGCUUGGCUGUUGCCACAGAAGGGUGUCCAUUCCAGAACCAGGAAGACGAAAGGAAGAAAAUUGCAUUUCUACUAGAACACGAUCUCCUGCUCCCAGGUAGAGUUCUGGAAAAUACAUGUUUCUCUUUCCCAUUUGGGAAAUCAGAAGCAGAGG
Molecule: long non-coding RNA, 1716 nt
Filed under: Monodelphis domestica (gray short-tailed opossum)
Lineage: Eukaryota; Metazoa; Chordata; Mammalia; Didelphimorphia; Didelphidae
Description: lncRNA (ENSMODG00000039116.1)
Source: RNAcentral